Molecule: ribosomal RNA, 498 nt
Filed under: uncultured bacterium
Lineage: Bacteria
Description: partial 16S ribosomal RNA
Rfam family: Bacterial small subunit ribosomal RNA
Source: RNAcentral
AUUGAACGCUGGCGGCAUGCCUUACACAUGCAAGUCGAACGGUAACAGGUCUUCGGAUGCUGACGAGUGGCGAACGGGUGAGUAAUACAUCGGAACGUGCCUAGUAGUGGGGGAUAACUACUCGAAAGAGUGGCUAAUACCGCAUGAGAUCUACGGAUGAAAGCAGGGGAUCGCAAGACCUUGUGCUACUAGAGCGGCCGAUGGCAGAUUAGGUAGUUGGUGGGAUAAAAGCUUACCAAGCCGACGAUCUGUAGCUGGUCUGAGAGGACGAUCAGCCACACGGGGACUGAGACGCGGCCCAGACUCCUACGGGAGGCAGCAGUGGGGAAUUUUGGACAAUGGGCGCAAGCCUGAUCCAGCAAUGCCGCGUGCAGGAUGAAGGCCUUCGGGUUGUAAACUGCCUUUGUACGGAACGAAAAGCCCCGGGUUAAUACCCUGGGGUCAUGACGGUACCGUAAGAAUAAGCACCGGCUAACUACGUGCCAGCAGCCGCCGUAA